RNAcentral lists this long non-coding RNA (269 nucleotides) under Ananas comosus (pineapple). RNAcentral describes it as "long non-coding RNA (ACOM_LNC014227)". The record is from RNAcentral. Lineage: Eukaryota; Viridiplantae; Streptophyta; Magnoliopsida; Poales; Bromeliaceae.
UUAAAGAUUUAAAUAUUUUGGAAAAUUUUCUAAACUCAUGAAAUAAUAGGGCGUAAAAUUGAUUUAAUAAUGGUUCUCUAUAGUUGAAUGGGUGGUUGGUUGAAUAAUAUGAUUUAACAGGUGAAAAUGAUCAAAAAAGUAAAUCUAGCGGUCGAAAAUUUAUAAAGUACAAAAAGACCUAUACUCAUAAGAGUAUAGUAAUCAGACUCUAUACAUACAGUCCAAAGAUACCACACCUAUAUUAAUAAUCGAUAAAAAUGAUAUUUAAA